This 253-nucleotide ribosomal RNA is filed under the name uncultured bacterium. RNAcentral describes it as "partial 16S ribosomal RNA". It matches the Rfam family "Bacterial small subunit ribosomal RNA", at positions 524 to 776 of the family's 1533-position model. The record is from RNAcentral.
UACAGAGGUCUCAAGCGUUGUUCGGAAUUACUGGGCGUAAAGGGCUCGUAGGCGGCCAACUAAGUCAGACGUGAAAUCCCUCAGCUUAACUGGGGAACUGCGUCUGAUACUGGAUGGCUUGGAUUCGGGAGAGGAAUGCGGAAUUCCAGGUGUAGCGGUGAAAUGCGUAGAGAUCCGGAGGAACACCAGUGGCGAAGGCGACACGCUGGGCCGUACCUGACACUAAAACGCGACAGCAUGGGGAGCGAACGGG